GGUCCCUGCUGUGACUACAGUAUCAGCCCUGGUCCCACUGUGGAUCUUUCUUGGAGCCCCUGGGUGACUCCCACAGUGGAGGAGGGGCUCUUUGUCACAGUGGCUGACCCAGCUCCUGCACCUGGACUCUGGACCCUGCUCCAGGUCAUCCACACAAACUCCACAGGAGUUUCCCAGCAUGCCUCGGCUGUGGAGCUGAGGGAGAGCUGUUUGUCCUGCUGCCCUGUGAGUUUCCCACUUUUGAACUGGACAGCCCCACAGUGGUGUGGAGUCGCUCCGACCUCAGUCCUCCAACCGUCCACCAGCAUCAAGGAGACGAACUGAAAGAUCCAAACCAGCGUUACAGCGGCCGAACAUCCAUGAAGACUGACGCUCUGGAAACUGGAGACCUCAGCCUGAACCUGACCAACCUCCACCUGUCUGACAGCGCCACCUACACCUGCUCCGUCAGAUCAUUUAGACUGAGAGAUGUCCCACUGCAGGUCAAAGAACCAUUUCCAUCCUGGGCCACAGCUCUGCUGGUUCUGCUGGUUCUGCUGGCUCUUCUGGUUCUCCUGGUUCUGCUGGUUCUCCUGGUUCUUCUGGUUGUCCUGGUUCUCCUGGUUCUUGUUCUCAUCGUCUCUGGAGGUCUUUUAUUUCAUUUCUGGCACUAUUUUAAGUCAGCAGGACUGUGCGGUGACGCGCUGUCAGGAGGAGACAGGUCUGCGACAGGAGCCCCGCCCCCUUGUUCUUCUGGCCGGUGUGGUUUCCAUCCCGGAAGAGAAAUUCCUCUCCUGUUUCAGAUAAGGAACAUUUGCCCGCGUGUGGCUGGACUGUGGGAUUAUGGGAAUUUUAGCAUAUGGAAACAUUUGUUUAGCCUUUGUGUUGACAGUGUAGAGUUAUUUCUGCAGCAGGGUUUUAAGUGUGUUGAGACUCUUUUUAUUGUAUAGGGGAUUUAACCUGUAACUCUGGUUGUGUCUGUUUCCAUGGAAAUAAAUGGUGUGUUUAAGGCCAACUUAGUGUCUGUGCCCUGAGCACUGACCCACUCACUCCCCUUCUAUUUGUAUGUGAACGCACUUUGAGGUGCAGAUUUAGAUCCACCACUUUAAGCGGCUACACUAACACUCAGAGAGUCAGUUGGAGGUGGAGGAGGGGGCGGAGUCUGUCCGGCUGCCUGAGGACACUCAGGUGGAGUGGUGGCACCGUCCUGAGAAGCCUGACAAACAGCAGCAGCAUCACAGAGACCGAGUGAAAGAAAGACGAGCGUGUGAAAAGCGGACAGUUCAGCCUGACCCUUAAACACCCCACAGAGAGAGACAGAUACAGCUGUGUGGCCUGGAGCCAGGGAAACAUCAUCGGAUGGAGAGUCGUGCUGCUCACAGUUACAGGGACGGUUCAGGUCCAGGAUCAAACAUCAGGAACAGAAGCAGCUCCAUUGAUCCGACUCCUCUGAUGGCUGAUCAAUCAGUUUGAUCUGUUUGAUUAUUGAUCAGUGAUGUCAGAGUGGAGUCAGUGUGAUGAUCAGUUUAUGUCAGUAUGUCCAUGAAGGUUCUCCAUCAUCCAGGUCAUCGUAGUCGAAGGAGCUUGGAAAGAAAAGCGUCUGGACUUCUUUAAGUUGCUUGAAGACGUUUCACCUUCAUCUGAGAAGCUUCUUCAGUUCUAGGGCUUAAAUCUGGGACUCUUCAAAUGGUGAAGAGUCCCAGAUUUAACUCUGUUGGAGUGUCCCCCUAAGAUCCCUUCCCAGACGCCUUAACGCCCACUCACAUCCUGGGCCAUCUGACCUCAGGAAAUCCCAUGAUAGGAUGGCCACCGCUGGAGAUUGACCACUGCCAGCUUCAUCUGAAACUCAAGGUUGAGGUCACAAAACCACAAGACAGAAAUAAUCCCAAGGUUUUUCUUUGCCCAAGAAGCUGUGGAACAUUUGCUGAAUGUCAGUUAUACUGCAAAGGGUUUGCACUUGAAACAUACAAGCAAACUGUUAUUUAGACCUGAGCCUGGCGUAGCACAUGAAAAAGGGACAUAGUAUUGUACUGAGCACUGAAGUUACACUCAGUAGCACAGGAACAGAGCGGGAGGGAGAGAGAGAGAGCCAGGGACAACAACGUCACAUUAGAAAGGUAUAGUAAUCAUCCACAACUAUUUUCAGUUGCAGAUCAUAAAGGAUUCAGAAAGUUUAUUCAUGCAGGCCCAUAUGACAGAGAAUAUGCAUCUUCUUUUUGUUUUCAUAUUUUAAUUUAUAUUUAAUUGUGUUGUGGUUUGCAGUGUUUUGUGUUGUUUCACUUUACAUUGGUUUAAAAGGAAAAAGCUGAAAAUUUAAAUAGUUAAAAGUUGAAAAGUUGGUUUUUGUAUUAUAUGAUUUAUUCAGUACAUUUUAUCUGGAGUGAAUAAAUAAAAGUAUAUUUGCGGUGGCCCCUACAGACAAAGCAGCACGUACAAACUCCAAAACAUGUACAAACACAACAGAAGUGCUCCAGGAUGCGCAGUGUUGAGCUUUUGUUACCUAGUGGCUACACAAGCCAGCAAGUACCAACAACCGGAUUUGGUGUGUGGUAGUAACAGGUAAAUGAACUUUUUUUUUAAAUUAUUUGAAUAUAUAUGAGUGCUUGUGUAUAAAUACACAAACAAUACACAUAUGCUUUCAACUGUGUAAUUUAAGUGAUCUAGGUAGCUCUGUUUUGGAAGUUCAGUUCAUGCUACAAAUGUGUUUUGGAGUUUGUACGUGCUUUGUCUCUAGGGGCCAUUUAAACAUAUAUGUAUAUAAACAUAUAUAAAUAAAAACACUUUUUUAACAUUAGUAAUUCCUUUUGUGCAUAAUUUUAUAUUAUUGUUAAUAAUAAAUUAAUUAAAGCAACAAAACAACUGAAGAGCCAGUUCUCUGGUCCCCUCCCCAAUCAGACCAGGAGUGACAUGUUUAGCCGCAUGUUCUCCUUAAAUUGCUGGCUGUCUGAGUGGUGUCCCAGAAACGAUGUGGGCUUCAUAGAUAAUUGGCAAACCUUCUGGAGGAAACC
Long non-coding RNA from Oreochromis aureus, 2987 nucleotides. Lineage: Eukaryota; Metazoa; Chordata; Actinopteri; Cichliformes; Cichlidae. The record is from Ensembl.